RNAcentral lists this ribosomal RNA (497 nucleotides) under uncultured bacterium. RNAcentral describes it as "partial 16S ribosomal RNA". It matches the Rfam family "Bacterial small subunit ribosomal RNA", at positions 28 to 507 of the family's 1533-position model. The record is from RNAcentral.
GAUGAACGCUGGCGGCGUGCCUAAUACAUGCAAGUCGAGCGAACGGACGAGAAGCUUGCUUCUCUGAUGUUAGCGGCGGACGGGUGAGUAACACGUGGAUAACCUACCUAUAAGACUGGGAUAACUUCGGGAAACCGGAGCUAAUACCGGAUAAUAUUUUGAACCGCAUGGUUCAAAAGUGAAAGACGGUCUUGCUGUCACUUAUAGAUGGAUCCGCGCUGCAUUAGCUAGUUGGUAAGGUAACGGCUUACCAAGGCAACGAUGCAUAGCCGACCUGAGAGGGUGAUCGCCCACACUGGGACUGAGACACGGUCCAGACUCCUACGGGAGGCAGCAGUAGGGACUCUUCCGCAAUGGGCGAAAGCCUGACGGAGCAACGCCGCGUGAGUGAUGAAGGUCUUCGGAUCGUAAAACUCUGUUAUUAGGGAAGAACAUAUGUGUAAGUAACUGUGCACAUCUUGACGGUACCUAAUCAGAAAGCCACGGCUAACUACGUG